UACGGGGGGUGCGAGCGUUGUCCGGAAUCACUGGGCGUAAAGGGCGCGUAGGUGGCGUGAUAAGGGUGUGGUGAAAGUCCGGGGCUCAACCCCGGAUCUGCCGUGCCGACUGUCAAACUCGAGGGCUGUAGAGGCAGACGGAAUUCCGGGUGUAGCGGUGGAAUGCGUAGAGAUCCGGAGGAAGACCGGUGGCGAAGGCGGUCUGCUGGGCAGUUUCUGACACUGAUGCGCGACAGCGUGGGGAGCAAACAGG
Molecule: ribosomal RNA, 253 nt
Filed under: uncultured bacterium
Lineage: Bacteria
Description: partial 16S ribosomal RNA
Rfam family: Bacterial small subunit ribosomal RNA
Source: RNAcentral